UGCAGAAUCCCGUGAACCAUCGAGUCUUUGAAUGCAAGUUGCGCUCGAGGCCAUUAGGUCGAGGGCAUGUCUGUCUGGGUGUCA
RNAcentral lists this ribosomal RNA (84 nucleotides) under Allium anisopodium. Its description in RNAcentral is "partial 5.8S ribosomal RNA". It matches the Rfam family "5.8S ribosomal RNA", at positions 73 to 154 of the family's 154-position model. From Rfam's summary of the family: 5.8S ribosomal RNA (5.8S rRNA) is a component of the large subunit of the eukaryotic ribosome. It is transcribed by RNA polymerase I as part of the 45S precursor that also contains 18S and 28S rRNA. Lineage: Eukaryota; Viridiplantae; Streptophyta; Magnoliopsida; Asparagales; Amaryllidaceae. The record is from RNAcentral.